GAUGAACGCUGGCGGCGUGCCUAAUACAUGCAAGUCGAGCGAACGGACGAGAAGCUUGCUUCUCUGAUGUUAGCGGCGGUCGGGCGAGUAACACGUGGAUAACCUACCUAUAAGACUGGGAUAACUUCGGGACACCGGCGCUAAUACCGGAUGAUAUUUUGAACCGCAUGGUUCAAAAGUGAAAGACGGUCUUGCUGUCACUUAUAGAUGGAUCCCCGCUGCAUUAGCUAGUUGGUAAGGUAACGGCUUACCAAGGCAACGAUGCAUCGCCGACCUGGGAGCCUGGUCGGCGGCACUGGAUGUGGGACACGGUUCCGACCUCGACGGGAGGGGGCAGCAGCUAAUCUUCCGCAGUGGGCUGAAGCAUGACGGAGCAACGCCGCGCGGGUGAUGAGAGUCGGCGGAUCGGAAAACACUGUUACGCGGGAAGAACAUAUGUGUAAGGAACUAUGUACAGCAUGCCGGUACCGAAUAAGAAAGCCACGACGAACUACGAG
Molecule: ribosomal RNA, 497 nt
Filed under: uncultured bacterium
Lineage: Bacteria
Description: partial 16S ribosomal RNA
Rfam family: Bacterial small subunit ribosomal RNA
Source: RNAcentral